This is a long non-coding RNA of Orbicella faveolata, 1909 nucleotides long. Lineage: Eukaryota; Metazoa; Cnidaria; Anthozoa; Scleractinia; Merulinidae. The record is from RefSeq and is a predicted model, not a curated record.
AGACAAAAACAUUUUUGGGGUUUACUGUAAACCUCAGAGGGUAAUGACCCCCCCAAAAGUAGCAGCUCCUGAAAGUGAUGUCAAAAAAUUGUGGUGGCUAUUAACUCCCACAAGUAGCAACAUUGGAAUGUAGCAAGCCCUCUGAAAGUAGCAAGCCCAACAAAAUCCCCACCCCCCCCCCCAAACCCGAAAAUAAUGAGACCAACGUUCAGUGGUAUAUUUAUUCUUCCAAUCAUUAGUCAGCUGAAAGUUACCAUACAAUUACUUGAUUUCAGGCACUCUACAACAAAGGAAGGUAUCGCCUAUGCCAUGAAGCGUUGUACAUAAAAUGUCAAUUCAUGCUUUGUCAGUUCAUGUUGCGCUGUGUUAAAACAAAAACCGUAGAAUUUCAUCAAGUAACAGGAAUGUACUAACAGGAACUUUUCUUUAAACUAAAAUUGGCAACUCUGUAUCAUUUUCAGCAAGAGUGUAUUACAUGUAAAAUGAAUGUUUCUUCAAAUUAAAUUGAAAACUCAACCAACACACUGAGCUAUUGUUAAAGCAGACUUAAACACAGCAGUGCAUCAGGAAGUUGAAACAGUUAAUGGUAUCUGCCUGGCUUUCGUGCUGACCAGUGACAACACAGUCUAGUCAUGAAGAGCCCACCCUUGUGGCAGCAACAUAGCUUUACACUGAAAUGAAGAAUUUAAUUUGAUGUUUUAAAAAUGGUAUUUACAAAUUUCCAUCUUUAAUUUUGGAAAAAAGAGCUCUAGUGUACCAACUUCAUGUAACAUUUUUUGCUCCCAGAAAGUAGCACCCCCCCCCCUGACGGUAACAACCACCCCCCCAAAACAAAACAAAAAGUAAAGAGCCCCAAAGGCUGCCAAUUCGGAAAGCAAAGAGGUUCAUUACUUUGGGAAGUUUACGGUAAUUCAUUAAACCAUGACAUGCAUGUUCUAUCCCUAGUUACCCCAAAAUUAGAAAGAUAGAGUAAAAAAGGCAAGGUAUAUAUUGAAUACUUACCAAAACCUUCAACACCAUGGUUGCCACAAAAACAUCAAACAUUACUGUUUUGUGAUUCAUUAUUGCAAAGAAUUUCAUGAUCAACAUAUAACUUACAUUUAAUUGUAACACUGAACACAUAAUCAAUCUGGAUGUGUUCAGUACACCCCUCUGAGAAACUUUGUUUAUGAACCUUCUGUCUUAAACUCAGUUGUUUUGAUCAUAAAUGCAACACAACAAACCCAGUGUAACUAUGUGACUCAGCUUGACACAGGUCACCAGUCAUCAUCAAAAGGCUGGUUGUCACUAUAGCAACAUAGUCAUAGUCAUAAGAGUUCUUUUUAAUCAGUGAGAAUAGCAAAUCAGAGUUGUAAGGGGAGUUUUUAAGCUCGACAGAAUCAGAGUAGGAAAAUUUAGUUUGUGAAAAACUAGAUUGUCAGAGCUAGAAGCAGAAUUGGAAGAAUCAAUCAAUCGCAGUGCCUGCAGGGAUCUGCACCGGUGGAAGGAACACAACAAUCAGACUUCCAUAACAGCUUGAUAGCAAGACUAGUGAAAACAAGCUAGAGGUUUUAAACUUCCUUGCAGAUGAAAAGAAUUCCAAGAUUGAUUAUGCAGAUUCCGAAGACCUGUGGGAAUCAGAGGAUGAUCGAGAGAACGAUUAUGGGUUAGUUGAAUUUUGAGGUGAUUCACAAGACGAUCAAGGCAGACGUUGGCCCUGAAGCAGAGGCAACUGGUCGCUUAUAUGCAAGCAAUUAAAUUUGUAAUUGUAAUUGUAUUGAGCUGAAAAACCCACUUAGGGAGCAUCAAUAAAGUUUGUAUGUGUGUAUGUAUCUAUGUUAUGGAAAAAUAUUCUGUUUUGCUAUUACAUUACAUGUUUAGAAGCUAACCGUACUGUUCACUUAAGUAAAUUGAAUGAUUAAUUGAUUGA